GGGGGCUGUGAGGCGGCUUCGGGAGCGCCGUCCCCGGAGUAGGGCAGGAGGAGCUCGUAGGCUGGUCGCUUUUGGCAGGGGAAUAAAAGGCACGUCCGGGUUGUUUUCGGCAGAUUUCUCCCUUCCUUCCCUCCCCCGCCCACCGUCGUAUCGGAGAAGAGCCGGAGAAACUCGCGGAAAGCCCUGGUUCAGUAGUUGCGCACAAAGUCGCGUUGAGUUCAGUGGUGCGAGGUUAACCCUCAGGAAAACGCGGCGUAGGAUCGCAGCCUGUGUGUGUGUGUGUGUAUCUUUUUUUGGAAACUUGAGUCGCCAAAGUCAGCAGGUAAGCCGCGGGGGUCAGGCAUGUCCCGGGGGGAGGCACGGUAACGCUGCUCCUUCCCAUCUCCGGCGGCUCCUGCCAGAAAAGUCCCUUGCGGAGCAGAGGCGGACUCAGCCUCGCACACUGCCAAGAAAGAAGAGCGCUAAUCGAGGACGUGAAAUCGGGCGCGUCCUAAUCUGAACGUUUGAAAAGACGAAACGGCGCGGUUUUAUUGCGCCUGCUGGGAGAAGCGAAUAUAGAAACGACACGGGCGCCGUCCCCGUUUUGCUGUCCUCUGUGCGGUUCCAUUGGCAGUUGCCAGGGUUGUAAUAAACUUAUGAACUCU
Molecule: non-coding RNA, 644 nt
Organism: Podarcis lilfordi (Lilford's wall lizard)
Lineage: Eukaryota; Metazoa; Chordata; Lepidosauria; Squamata; Lacertidae
Source: the annotation of a GenBank genome assembly